RNAcentral lists this ribosomal RNA (256 nucleotides) under uncultured bacterium. Its description in RNAcentral is "partial 16S ribosomal RNA". It matches the Rfam family "Bacterial small subunit ribosomal RNA", at positions 524 to 776 of the family's 1533-position model. The record is from RNAcentral.
UACGGAGGGUGCGAGCGUUGUCCGGAAUCAUUGGGCGUAAAGGGCGCGUAGGUGGCCCGGUCAGUCUUUGGUGAAAGCGCGGGGCUCAACCCUGCGUCGGCCAGGGAUACUGCCGCGGCUGGAGCACCGUAGAGGCAGGCGGAAUUCCGGGUGUAGCGGUGGAAUGCGUAGAGAUCCGGAAGAACACCGGUGGCGAAGGCGGCCUGCUGGGCAGUUUUGCUGACACUGAGGCGCGACAGCGUGGGGAGCAAACAGG